GCGGAGUUGAAGCAAAGUAGUAUCACAACCUAAAGAUCAAGAGUUUGUUUGGAGGAGCGCGCUCUAUGACCUUGCUCCAGGGGAUCUGCCUGCGCUCGCCUUUCACCGGCAAGAUCACGCUUUAACCACGACUGUAUGAGCGACAUGAAGUGAAAACGGCAGGCUUGUAUUUCUUCUGGGCACCUCUGCUGCUUUCAGGGCAAAAGGCCCGUUGGACGUCACUCCUCCUUACAGCUGUCAUAAGGAUGUAGCCUUAAUAUUUCCUCUUGUAGGUCGAUUACAUUCUGGCAAGUUAUCCACAUUCACCUAUUUUACCAGUGUUCGGAGACACAGAUAGCUAAUUAGCACAGGUAGGCCACUUU
Long non-coding RNA from Oncorhynchus tshawytscha (Chinook salmon), 362 nucleotides. The record is from Ensembl. NCBI's taxonomy places the organism in Eukaryota, Metazoa, Chordata, Actinopteri, Salmoniformes, Salmonidae.